GUUCGGGUUGUCAUGCCAAUGGCACUGCCCGGUAGCUAAAUGCGGAAGAGAUAAGUGCUGAAAGCAUCUAAGCACGAAACUUGCCCCGAGAUGAGUUCUCCCUGAGACUUUAAGUCUCCUGAAGGAACGUUAAAGACGAUGACGUUGAUAGGCCGGGUGUGUAAGCGCAGCGAUGCGUUGAGCUAACCGGUACUAAUGAACCGUGAGGCUUAACCUUACAACGCCGAAG
This 229-nucleotide ribosomal RNA is filed under the name Klebsiella pneumoniae. RNAcentral's name for it is "partial 23S ribosomal RNA". It matches the Rfam family "Bacterial large subunit ribosomal RNA", at positions 2714 to 2925 of the family's 2925-position model. Lineage: Bacteria; Pseudomonadati; Pseudomonadota; Gammaproteobacteria; Enterobacterales; Enterobacteriaceae. The record is from RNAcentral.